This 1492-nucleotide long non-coding RNA is filed under the name Chrysemys picta bellii (western painted turtle). Its description in RNAcentral is "lncRNA (ENSCPBG00000011208.1)". The record is from RNAcentral. Lineage: Eukaryota; Metazoa; Chordata; Testudines; Emydidae.
CUGGUCUAUUAAUACCUAUGGAAAACCACUGCUGCAGUCACAUAUCACACAGAACCACUUCCACUUACCAAAAAAACAAUCAAUUUUAUUAGAAAUCAGGGGGGAAGGGGGAAUAAAAAAAGACCAUCUUGAGAUGAGCUAUUCCACUAAAAACCCAUUGACAAUUAUAAAACGCAACUUGAUCACAGGGGACAACAAAUCACGAGGGAGGCUCAUAUGGGUCAGAAGCAUUGGUCCCAGUAAACCAUUGCAGAAGCCAACCAAACAAGCACCCCACCCCCUUUAAAAUGUAUUCCUGACAGAGCUAGAAUGGGUCUCUCUAUAACCAUUAGACCCACGGGAAUGGAGCCAGAGGCAAAAAACCCAAAAAUCUGUACAUUCAAAGCGGAGAUGGGCCUACGCCUGAGCCCCAAAAUUACACUCGUCUCCCUUCCCCGCCACAAUUUCUGGCGGUGGGGUCCUCAUCAGCACCUAAAUGACUAGGCACCCCGGGAGAACCACAGGGGGCCAUCUCUUGUCCAGCCACCUCCAUCAAGAGCCUUCUUUCUAGUCAUUGCACUCAAUGGCCUCUGUCUAGGUCAGGCCAAACCAGAUCUGAAGUCCGCCCGGCGUUAUGGGUGAUUGAAAUCUGGACCAGAAUCUACCUGGCCUAUCUCCAAUUCGAGCCCGGCUCUACAUGGGCGGGCCAAUAGAGACCUCUUUCUUAUUUAUAAAAAAAAAUAUUUCACAGUUUCAGGGUUAGGAAGAAGGUGGGAAAAGCCACUUGACAAACUAGCUUUUCCUUCUCCGUGCCCAUCAGAACACCACAGUCUCCUGCUGUAGGAUUUCUGCCUAGAGAUAUCCUACCCUGCUAUAGACAAAGGCGAGGGGACCAAGGAGAGAUCCAGGGACUGGACUCCUAUUAGGGUCGGGGACAAGGCAUCCAUCUGGCUCCCUUUAUUUCCUUCAAUACAGACAUUUGAGGCCAGUGGAGCGUCGCCCGGCCCCUACCCCUUGCCCAGUAUUGGAGUGCUGGAACUCCCAGCUCCCACUUUUAUCCCGGGGGAACGUGAUGAGAGGCAUCCAGGCUCCAAACAGAACUCCCUUCCCUGGCCCAGCCAUAACCCUACCCCUGCCCCGAGGAGGAGACGACCCCACAGAGCCCACAAAAGUUAUGGAGCAGACAAAUGGCAGAAGCCGAGGCAUGCAGAGCGGAGAGCAGGUGCAGCAGGCUGUCCGUUCUCUGUCCAUUUCCUAUCGGCUCCUCUGCCCCUCCCCGUCCCCAACUCUGCAGGAGGAGGUUGCAAAUUCCACCAGAUCCUCAAGCCUUCCCCGUUGAUCCGCUUCCCCCUGACUGAGGCAGCAAAGACGAUGAAUCCCGUUGUCCCGCUCAUCCACUGAGCUGCAAGACUGGGGUGAGCUGGCCUAGCCGGGGGUGUAGAGACAGACACUGGUCCUGGUGCGAUGGGUGGGUGGGAUGCCCGGCCGCCUCUCCGUCCAGGAAAAAGGAACU